Molecule: ribosomal RNA, 464 nt
Filed under: uncultured bacterium
Lineage: Bacteria
Description: bacterial SSU rRNA
Rfam family: Bacterial small subunit ribosomal RNA
Source: RNAcentral
CCAGACUCCUACGGGAGGCAGCAGUGAGGAAUAUUGGUCAAUGGGCGCGAGCCUGAACCAGCCAAGUCGCGUGAGGGAAGACGGUUCUAUGGAUUGUAAACCUCUUUUGUCGGGGAGCAAAAGACGCCACGCGUGGCGUUCCGAGAGUACCCGAAGAAAAAGCAUCGGCUAACUCCGUGCCAGCAGCCGCGGUAAUACGUAGGGGGCAAGCGUUAUCCGGAUUUACUGGGUGUAAAGGGAGCGUAGGCGGUUUAGCAAGUCAGAAGUGAAAGCCCGGGGCUCAACUCCGGGACUGCUUUUGAAACUGUUGAACUAGAUUGCAGGAGAGGUAAGUGGAAUUCCUAGUGUAGCGGUGAAAUGCGUAGAUAUUAGGAGGAACACCAGUGGCGAAGGCGGCUUACUGGACUGUAAAUGACGCUGAGGCUCGAAAGCGUGGGGAGCAAACAGGAUUAGAUACCCGCGUA